Molecule: ribosomal RNA, 398 nt
Filed under: Alexandrium margalefii
Lineage: Eukaryota; Dinophyceae; Gonyaulacales; Pyrocystaceae
Description: partial Bacterial small subunit ribosomal RNA
Rfam family: Bacterial small subunit ribosomal RNA
Source: RNAcentral
ACGGAGAGUUUGAUCCUGGCUCAGGAUGAACGCUAGCGGCAGGCCUAAUACAUGCAAGUCGAACGAGAUUCUUUUCUUCGGAGAAGAUGAAAGUGGCGCACGGGUGCGUAACGCGUAUGCAAUCUACCUUGUACUAAGGUAUAGCCCGAAGAAAUUCGGAUUAAUCCCUUAUAGUAUUGUCACUUCGCAUGUUGCGACAAUUAAAGGUUACGGUACAAGAUGAGCAUGCGUCCCAUUAGCUAGAUGGUAAGGUAACGGCUUACCAUGGCUACGAUGGGUAGGGGGCCUGAGAGGGUUAUCCCCCACACUGGUACUGAGACACGGACCAGACUCCUACGGGAGGCAGCAGUGAGGAAUAUUGGUCAAUGGACGAAAGUCUGAACCAGCCAUGCCGCGUG